AGUGGGGAAUAUUGCACAAUGGGCGCAAGCCUGAUGCAGCCAUGCCGCGUGUGUGAAGAAGGCCUUCGGGUUGUAAAGCACUUUCAGCGGGGAGGAAGGGUUACUAGUUAAUACCUAGUAGCAUUGACGUUACUCGCAGAAGAAGCACCGGCUAACUCCGUGCCAGCAGCCGCGGUAAUACGGAGGGUGCAAGCGUUAAUCGGAAUUACUGGGCGUAAAGCGCACGCAGGCGGUUUGUUAAGUCAGAUGUGAAAUCCCCGAGCUCAACUUGGGAACUGCAUUUGAAACUGGCAAGCUAGAGUCUUGUAGAGGGGGGUAGAAUUCCAGGUGUAGCGGUGAAAUGCGUAGAGAUCUGGAGGAAUACCGGUGGCGAAGGCGGCCCCCUGGACAAAGACUGACGCUCAGGUGCGAAAGCGUGGGGAGCAAA
RNAcentral lists this ribosomal RNA (427 nucleotides) under Plesiomonas shigelloides. RNAcentral's name for it is "bacterial SSU rRNA". It matches the Rfam family "Bacterial small subunit ribosomal RNA", at positions 353 to 772 of the family's 1533-position model. Lineage: Bacteria; Pseudomonadati; Pseudomonadota; Gammaproteobacteria; Enterobacterales; Enterobacteriaceae. The record is from RNAcentral.